CCUACGGGUGGCUGCAGUGGGGGAUAUUGCACAAUGGGGGGAACCCUGAUGCAGCGACGCCGCGUGGGUUCCGGCUCUUUUCUUCUCUUCCCGCCCUCUCGGCCGUGCCGCCGCUGCCGGUCCCUGACCAAGAAGCCCCGGCUAACUACGUGCCAGCAGCCGCGGUAAUACGUAGGGGGCACGCGUUAUCCGGAUUUCCUGGGUGUACCGGGGGCGCCGCCGGCACUGCAAGCCCGGAGUGCAAGCCCGGGGCCCAACCCCGGGACUGCUCUUGGAACUGGAUGGCUGGAGUACAGGAGGGGCAGGCGGAAUUCCUAGUGUAGCGGUGAAAUGCGUAGAUAUUAGGAGGAACACCGGUGGCGAAGGCGGCCUGCUGGACUGUGACUGACGUUGAGGCCCGAAGGCGUGGGGAGCAAACAGGAUUAGAUACCCGUGUAGUC
This 440-nucleotide ribosomal RNA is filed under the name uncultured bacterium. Its description in RNAcentral is "partial 16S ribosomal RNA". It matches the Rfam family "Bacterial small subunit ribosomal RNA", at positions 338 to 795 of the family's 1533-position model. The record is from RNAcentral.